This 4180-nucleotide unclassified non-coding RNA is filed under the name Leishmania donovani. Its description in RNAcentral is "gene:LdHU3.31.3710(CDS-product:hypothetical_prote in_conserved)". The record is from RNAcentral. Lineage: Eukaryota; Euglenozoa; Kinetoplastea; Trypanosomatida; Trypanosomatidae.
GUGCGCUAGCAUCUUAGGAGGUGGCCAUUCACGUACACGCACGCGCAUACAUACACACCCUCUCACUCUCCUGUAAUACACUCCUGUGUGAGUGUGUGGGCGGGCUCGACUGCACUUCUUGGAUCACUGAUUGACUCCCGCUCGCUCACGGUGUGUGCGUCGUUCUCUGCCCCCUCCCUCUGCCCUUUGUGGGUGCAUGUGGCUGCUCUCUUCAGCCUGGCCCUUCUGCAUCAUUUUUCUCGUCUCUUUUUGUUGUUUUUGUUUGUCGUUUGGAGGGGGCGCGCAAAUCUUGUGUUGCUGCGAGGCGGUGCUGACGCGCAUACAACCGCAGACACUGACAUCCCCGUCCCCUUCCCUCCCUUAGCAUCUGCUUUCUUUUAUGGUUGCUCUUGCUGCUCCUCUUUCCCGACAAGGUUGUCUCGUCUCAUUUACUCUUUUUUGUAUCGGUGUUAACGUAUGGGUGGUGGGUAGGUGUGUCCCAGGGUGCCCCCCCCCCUUUUCCCGGCAAGUGUGGUGUACUUCUAGUGACCAUGUGUCACGGCGGAGUUAGAAGUUAGCCAGCCUUCUCCACGCACUGCAUCUUUUUUUUGUCGUUUUUCUUUUGCUUGUUCCCCCACCACCACCACCAUCCACUCACACACACAUACACACGUCAUACACCUCUCACCCUCUGUUCCAGUUGGUCUUCAUCUCCCUUAUUCAUCGCUCUGCCUCUGCGGCGGUUGCUCACGAACAGCCUAGCAGGUGGAGUGGGCAAACCAAAGAACCAGAAAAAAGGAGGGUACAGAGGAGAGCUAGCAAAAAGACCAACUAAACCAGCGUGAGCGGUGAAGUCUCUCCGUUUGUGUGUGUGUGUGUGUGUGUGAGUGAGUGCCUGUGUGUGCCCCUGUUUCCUUUUUUUUCGUAUAGCCUCGCGCCAACUGCUUCUCUAACUGUUCGUGACUCUUCCUCUCUUUGGUGCGUUUUUCAUUUAUUUUCUAGACCGUAUAACGACUCCUCUGUUCCCCUCUGAGCUGGCACGAUUCAAUAAUCGACGGAAUAUUUCUCUCCCUCCAUUGUGGCCCAUAUUUCAUCAACCUACUGCACUGUCACCCAGCGGUUUCCCUCCCCUCCCUUCGACGAUCAACAGUUGUGUGUGCGUGUGUGUGUGUGUGUGUGUUUAUAGCUCCGUGUGGGGGUCUGUGGGUGCUUCCCUUGUUUUCCCCCGUUUAGCCGUCGGUGGACGUUUCAGCUGCAAAUCGCUUCUCGUGUGGGUCUGCGCUGCGCGCACUUCUGCUUUAACGUUUUCCGCCUGGCCUCUUCCCCCCCCUCUUCCCCUCACUCCUCCCUUCUUGGGGUCUGGUGUCCCGUGAAUUCGUUAGCUCAACGUCUCGUGUGCCUCUUUUAUGGGAUUCAUCCGUGCGUUCUUUUGUUUCUUUUUUACGCUAAUCCGUCAUCUAUCGUGCCUAUCUUCCUCGUGGGCGACUGCGUCUGAGUCGGCGUGUACGGGCUUGGUGCCACGAAGCACUCUUCGUCGGCACCGCGACGCUUCGCUCCGGCCACGGCAAGUCGCGCCCCCUCCUCGCCGUAAAGUGUCUGGCACGGAUACAAGUGAGCCACAGCGGUCAGAACUGGAAAACGAAGAGAAGUCGGCGGUGGUCCUACUCUCACGCUCCGAAGCAGUAGCAAGCCUACCGCGUUUGUUUGUUUUGUUUUGUUUUCUUUCCUGUAGCAUGGAGUGCAUCAACCAAGAGAACGCGAGCGCACGCUCGGCAACUAACGUGGCCAGAGGUGUAGAUGAACCAACAGUAGCUACAGUCCCGUUCUCACCGCUGCAGGUGGAGCUGCAGAGGUCAGACCCACUCUCGAGAUCCCUCUGUGAGCCGGUGCAACGCUCUCAGUCGUCGGCGUCCAACGCCGCUGAAGCCAAUGACACCGAUGUCCCGCCCCUCCUUGGCGGCGACCCGGCCGCGGCGCGCUCCUCCUCUAUCAUAUCCUCACACGACGCGUCGUUCUACAGCAGCCUCAUGGUGAGCCGGGCAGAGAACCUGGAUGCGCUGGAGAGCUGCACGAGUCGCACUGGGCGCAACUUAAUUUCACCGUCCACAGGUGCGGCAGCAGAGAGAUACGCACAUGAGCAGUCGCCUUCAGCCGAGCCGCGCCUCUCCACACCCAGGCCCCGACUAGCUCCAAACUCUGCGGAUUCGCACGGCGGUAAAGAGGAGGUUGCGCCCAACGCAGAGGCAGAGAUCGCCUCAGAGCAACCCGUCUCAUCCGGUGCUGCGGUGAGGACAGUGGAGUCAGGCGUGGCAGCAACAGGCCCCCACAGCGUUGGUGCCGAAGACCACAGCAGCGGCUCGCAAGCGCACGCGCACAAAUGUCUGGCGUCGCCAGUCGGCAAUGUGAAAACGCUUGAGGAGCUCCUGGACUGGCGCUCGCACCUUUCCGCUUGGAAGCAGUCUGUGGGCGCGCACGAGAGCCACAAUACAGAUGGCAACGACAACACUGUAAAGCACAUGUGCAACGAUCAGGCAAGCGAAGGGAAUAUGGUUGGACGUGUGAAUCGGAAGGGGGCGCCGGCGUCGGAGGGCUCGCAAGUAUCUUCGCGCUCAGAAUGUCUGCAGGGCUGCCAUGGUGGCUGUCACAGAACUCCAGCAGCCUCAUCAUCCUCUCCUAGCACGGACGCGAUUACGCCAGCCGAGAGUAACGCCGCUGGUGGGGACACCAUAGCGGUAACCCACAACCCUCAAAGCCAACACAGCCACCCCUCCAGCGGCGCGGCCAGCCAGACGGAGGUGGUAGAUACCUUCUUUACCAAGGAGUCCUCGAGCGCCUCCUCCUCGCAUCCUCGCAGUCCGGCGCAGGUGGACGGACACCCCUGGAGCACACAGCUGAAUGUCCAUCUAGAGCAGCACCUCUCUACGGGCGAAAAUCUUGCCACACAAGCGCCGCCCACAGCUCACGUCACCAUUAUCGACGGCCGGGUCUUGAGGGAAGGAGGAGGAACGGGCAAAAGCGGUAGACCACGCGGUGCCGGCCCGCCAACGUUGUCGUCGUCGCGGUGUCUGGAAGUCACAGGAUUGGAGGAUCAUCAUCCACCAAGCAGCACUGGGCACAGUUCGCCUUACAGUCACCCCGCUCUCACGCACGGAGUUGAGCGCCGGCCAUGGGUGCGUAGUGCUCUGCCUCCAUCAGCACACACGCCCAUUCUCCUGCACUCCUCGCCGGUAGGCGGCUUUGACGGCUGCCGAAGCCGCGACAACUGGAACAACCCUCACUCCGGAAGCAAUAAGAGCACAAUCAGCAGUGCCGGCAUUCAGCGCCAGCACUCCCGCGAGGAGUCGCUGUCGCAAGCAACGCCGCGUACGCCGGAGUCCUGGCGCCACAAGGUGAAGGCGAUGCCUCCUAUGGUGAAGCCGUUGAGGGAGCUGGCAAUGGAAGAGGAGUAUCCAGUGUUUGCGGUGCCGGUCGAUGAGGAAACUAACAAGGCCGUGGUGGCGUUCGUCUCUGGGUUUGUCCUGCUCAUCUGCCUGGUGUUUAUCUGUGCCAUGUGACGGCGCGUUCACGACGACGCAAUAAUGCAUGCAUCGCCCCAUCCACGUUGUACGCGCGCCAGAGAGAGAGAGCGGCGGAGACGCAGGAGGAGGAAGAAAACCUCGCUAUAUGCAUCAGAUCCUCGUCUUCUGAGAAAGGUCCACCUCCGCCACCCUUCCCUUCACUGUGGGUAGUCUUUUUUGUGUGAAUCUGCGCUAAACUGGACAGGGUAGGGAUGUGUCAGUGAAACGCGCAGCGCCCUCUUUUUUUUUCCUCUCCUGUACCACCGUGCCUCACUUGCGUGUUGUAUCUCCGUAGCGUAUUGUGUGACCUUCUCCGUGGGUCGGUGCCCUUUUCGUCCACGCAAAGUACGCGCUGGUGAUGAUGCUGCCGCCUCGACGUGUGCGUCCACCUUCACAUCCGCGUGAUUUCCUUUUGUAGAAAUCUGGGUUGUGUGUCUGUACUGCUUGAUAUUUUGUGUGCGUGUGUGUGUAUGUGUGUGAGGUGGUUUAGCCACAUUGUUUUGUUUCUUUUUUUUUCGAUCACGUGCGCGCUGUGUAUUUCUCCGCAAGCCUUCCACCUUCUCCACCCGGAUGUGUUUGUACCCCGCACAAUGAGUUGUUCAGUCAUGUGGUGACGGAGAGUAGGCAACGUCAAAUAGUGCGAC